This 254-nucleotide ribosomal RNA is filed under the name uncultured bacterium. Its description in RNAcentral is "partial 16S ribosomal RNA". It matches the Rfam family "Bacterial small subunit ribosomal RNA", at positions 524 to 776 of the family's 1533-position model. The record is from RNAcentral.
UACGGGGGUAGCGAACGUUAUCCUGAAUUACUGGGCGUAAAGAGAUGCGUAGGCGUUUUAUUAAGCCUCUGGUUAAAUUCUGCAGCUUAACUGUAGACCUGCUAGAGAAACUAAUAGAAUUGAGAAAAGCAGAGGGAAGUAGAAUUCUCCGAGGAGAGGUAAAAUUCGUUGAUAAGGAGAGGAAUACCAAUGGUGAAGGCAACUUCCUGGGCUUUUUCUGACGCUAAGGCUCGAAAGCGUGGGGAGCAAAACGG